Molecule: ribosomal RNA, 476 nt
Filed under: uncultured bacterium
Lineage: Bacteria
Description: SSU rRNA
Rfam family: Bacterial small subunit ribosomal RNA
Source: RNAcentral
AGGACGAACGCUGGCGGCGUGCUUAACACAUGCAAGUCGAACGGUAAGGCCUUUCGGGGUACACGAGUGGCGAACGGGUGAGUAACACGUGGGUGAUCUGCCCUGCACUUUGGGAUAAGCCUGGGAAACUGGGUCUAAUACCGAAUAUGACUAUUGGUUGCAUGACUGGUGGUGGAAAGCUUUUGCGGUGUGGGAUGGGCCCGCGGCCUAUCAGCUUGUUGGUGGGGUUAAGGCCUACCAAGGCGACGACGGGUAGCCGGCCUGAGAGGGUGUCCGGCCACACUGGGACUGAGAUACGGCCCAGACUCCUACGGGAGGCAGCAGUGGGGAAUAUUGCACAAUGGGCGCAAGCCUGAUGCAGCGACGCCGCGUGAGGGACGACGGCCUUCGGGUUGUAAACCUCUUUCAGUAGGGACGAAGCGCAAGUGACGGUACCUACAGAAGAAGGACCGGCCAACGUACGCGCCAGCAGCCGC